UACGUAGGGGGCAAGCGUUGUCCGGAGUCAUUGGGCGUAAAGCGCGUGUAGGCGGCUUGGUAAGUCUGCUCUGAAAGCCCGGGGCUCAACCCCGGGAGGCGGGUGGAUACUGUCAAGCUCGAGUCCGGAAGAGGAGUGUGGAAUUCCUGGUGUAGCGGUGAAAUGCGUAGAUAUCGGGAGGAACACCUGAGGCGAAGGCGGGCUACUGGGCCGAUACUGACGCUGAUGCGCGAAAGCCAGGGGAGCGAACGGG
This 253-nucleotide ribosomal RNA is filed under the name uncultured bacterium. RNAcentral describes it as "partial 16S ribosomal RNA". It matches the Rfam family "Bacterial small subunit ribosomal RNA", at positions 524 to 776 of the family's 1533-position model. The record is from RNAcentral.